Molecule: ribosomal RNA, 662 nt
Filed under: Tridens flavus
Lineage: Eukaryota; Viridiplantae; Streptophyta; Magnoliopsida; Poales; Poaceae
Description: eukaryotic LSU rRNA
Rfam family: 5.8S ribosomal RNA (bases 243-398)
Source: RNAcentral
ACCUGCGGAAGGAUCAUUGUCGUGACCCUGAACAAAACAGACCGUGAACAUGUCGUCCAUGCCGCUGGGUAACAGGCCUUGCACCUGUCACCUGGUACAGGGAACCUACUUUCUUGUAAAGUUAGUGUCCCAAAAAGAACCAACGGCGCCGUAUGGCGUCAAGGAACAAUGAUAUUGCCUUGCUUGGUUCACGUUUGGCUUGCCGGACGAACCCAAUGCAAAGAUGAGAUGUUAAUCCACAUGACUCUCGGCAACGGAUAUCUCGGCUCUCGCAUCGAUGAAGAACGUAGCAAAAUGCGAUACCUGGUGUGAAUUGCAGAAUCCCGUGAACCAUCGAGUUUUUGAACGCAAGUUGCGCCCGAGGCCUUUUGACUGAGGGCACGUCUGCUUGGGCGUCACUCCAAAAGACACUCCCCACCCAUCCCGGUGUGGACGUGGUGUUUGGCCCCUCGUGCCAUUUGGCGCGGUGGGCACAAGUUGGGGCUGCCGGUGUUGCCGAUCACAGCAUAAGGUGGAUAACAAAUGUUGUUCUCGAAGCUAUGAUUCGGACCACUUAUGGUGAUGUGAUGGCCCUUUGGACCCAUUGAUCAAGUGCAUGUUGCUUGGAUUGCGACCCCAGGUCAGUCGGGAUUACCCGCUGAAUUUAAGCAUAUCAAUAAGCG